This is a long non-coding RNA of Gambusia affinis (western mosquitofish), 557 nucleotides long. RefSeq lists it as uncharacterized. The transcript is spliced from 3 exons. The record is from RefSeq and is a predicted model, not a curated record. NCBI's taxonomy places the organism in Eukaryota, Metazoa, Chordata, Actinopteri, Cyprinodontiformes, Poeciliidae.
AGCGCUGAGACCUACUUCUGUCGCUGCCAUCUUGAAAGUAGCAGAGCAGAGAACGUGCUGCGUGGACUAGUUUCAACCGUUUUACAGUACAAAGUGGACCCACUGCCUAUACCUUCCACAGAGGGAGAGGCAAUGAGAAACCUGUAACAGGCGCUUUUACCGUUGAUUUAUUGUUGCCAUGGUUACCUAGAAGUUCGCAAAACAAGUCACUGUUUGUCUGUGGCCAAGCAUGGUUACUUUAAGUGAACCUGAAGUGGACAGAAAGUACAUUAAUCCAGAGAGCAGCAUGGAGACCGCGGGAUUUAAUCAGGAUCGGUCCAUAAAGAUCAGAGCUGGAGCUGUUUUUCUUCAGACUUCUGUUUCGCAGUUCAUCUCCACAAUGUCUGUGUUUAGAUGCUAAGUCAAUGCCCCCAUAUGGUGAAGAUAUGUUUUUUUACUGAAUGUGAAUGAAUCAGGGAUUAUUUUCUAUUAUACUGUUAGACAAUUUUUGCCAUUCGCUUUAACCUGAGGCCAGCCAGAUGUCUCAGAAGGCCCAGUCACCAAACUGCUCCCGAUUA